AUAGGUCUUGCUGUCCAGGGUGCUGCGUCACCUCAUUUUGGGCUGAUGGCCCAUGUAUCAAGUUGGGUCCAUUAGGGACGCGUCCUAGGGUUGGAGGACGACCCCAACACCUCUUUGGUCGUCAAUCCAUCUACUUAUAUCCCUCUAGAGCCGCCAUGGUCGUUGGGUUUUGUUUAGAUCAAGUUUAGCCUUCGCUACUUGCUUGUAGGCGCGCGUGCAGGAUCAGCCGCCCGUCUCCUUGUCUUCAGAACCCCAUUGUUGAUUCAGAUUCAGUUUGAAACCUUCAAUUCAUCUUGCAAAUUUAGUGCUUGUUUCCUCGUUCUUGCUAGUUCUUCGAUUGCUUGCAGGACGGGAGCCCUAGGGGCUGGUUGUCGCGCUCCACAAGAUCGUGACGGCUGUUGGACGUGGUGUAUCGGUUGCUAAGGCGCGGUCUUGAGGGCUGUAGUCGAGCCGUGAACGUCAUCUCCAUCCACCAAUCGAGUUAUCCCCAUCUCUCAUCAAAAGAUCAGGCAAAAACCCUAGCGGGUUCGCAUCAGUUGGUAAUCAGAGCAAGGUUCUUCGGUGAGAGACUUCUAAUCCUUUGCUGUUUUUAAUUAAUUUCCUAUAGUCCAGAAAAGCCAAAAAAAAUAUAGUAGAUUAGUUUUUCCAUAAUCCUAUUAAACCUUUGUGCCUUGGCUAGUACCGUUUUAGUUAGGGCUUGUUGAAUUUGCGUUGCUACGGUUUGUGUCGAGUUGCUGGUCUUAGUGUCUAGUCCUUUAGAGUUUCGAGUUCUUGUCACCAUCUAUACACAGCCGAGUAUUACCAUAUCUUCUCUCUGUCGAAUCUAUUGCGAAGUCCGAAUUGAACUGUGGUCUUGGUCCGGAUCGAGUAGAGUUCCAAUCUGAGUUCCACCAACGUAAUAAAAAAGAAGGAUAACUCCAUACUUGUUCGGCCUUACUCUAGAGAGAGAGAGAGAAAAAAGUGUGUGUAGCGAAUUGCUCUUUUAUAUUCUUUUGUUCAUAUAAUCAGUUUUUGAGGUUGCCCAAAAAAAAGAAAAAAAAAGAAAAAAAAGAGAAAAGAUUCAAAAAAAAGAAGGGGCUGUUUUUCAUAUUGAUUUUAGGUUUCUUCCACCUUGUUUUCAGGGGUGUGCUGUGGUUUUCCUUUGUGUCCAGGCUUGCGUCUCUAGCACGGUCUAGCCUAGGACCAGCACAGUACCAUCGUCGAACGCUUAUUCAGCUCGCUUUUAUAACUAACGUGGUGCUAGUUCGUUCCUUGUUUCAGCCCACCUAUAGCUCCACAUACUCUACAGCUUGACAGGUCUUGUGCUGCAGCACCGAUACACUUCGUCCAUUGCUGUACACUUGUUGGC
This 1348-nucleotide long non-coding RNA is filed under the name Sorghum bicolor (sorghum). Its description in RNAcentral is "long non-coding RNA (SBIC_LNC008922)". Lineage: Eukaryota; Viridiplantae; Streptophyta; Magnoliopsida; Poales; Poaceae. The record is from RNAcentral.